RNAcentral lists this ribosomal RNA (358 nucleotides) under Aeromonas salmonicida subsp. salmonicida. RNAcentral's name for it is "bacterial LSU rRNA". It matches the Rfam family "Bacterial large subunit ribosomal RNA", at positions 2595 to 2925 of the family's 2925-position model. The record is from RNAcentral. Lineage: Bacteria; Pseudomonadati; Pseudomonadota; Gammaproteobacteria; Aeromonadales; Aeromonadaceae.
GGUACGCGAGCUGGGUUCAGAACGUCGUGAGACAGUUCGGUCCCUAUCUGCCGUGGGCGUUGGAUGAUUGAAGGGAGUUGCUCCUAGUACGAGAGGACCGGAGUGAACGAACCUCUGGUGUUCGGGUUGUCACGCCAGUGGCACUGCCCGGUAGCUAAGUUCGGAAUCGAUAACCGCUGAAAGCAUCUAAGCGGGAAGCGAGCCCUGAGAUGAGUCAUCCCUGACCCCUUGAGGGUCCUAAAGGGCCGUUGGAGACCACAACGUUGAUAGGUGGGGUGUGUAAGUGCAGUGAUGUGUUGAGCUAACCCAUACUAAUUACCCGUGAGGCUUAACCAUACAACACCCAAGAAGUGUUCUG